Molecule: long non-coding RNA, 1024 nt
Organism: Lycium ferocissimum
Lineage: Eukaryota; Viridiplantae; Streptophyta; Magnoliopsida; Solanales; Solanaceae
Exons: 2
Source: RefSeq, a predicted model, not a curated record
UUCGGCCGGGCGCAGUCCAUUAAAGGACUGAGCCAGCCCAACCGUCCAAUAAAGGGGUAAUACCCCUAUCAUUUCCCAUUCUUUAUCAACCAAACGCACCCCACUAGUUUUCUCGCUCAAGGGUUAUAAACCCUAGCACAGCCACCCCUCCCCACACCCUCUCUCUUACGUCACGUUGCCGGAUAUGGCAAAGAUAAGGGCCCGCAUGGCUUUUGCAGCUGUGAACCUGAUCGAGAAUGGCAAGAGCAUUAAACGCUCUGUCAUUUCUCAACCAAUACUCCCAAAACUUAGCCCAAACACGGUAUUACCACCUCUUUUUCACUUUGCUUUUGCUUUACAACGGUCGAUUGACUAAGCUUUCUUAAUGGUUUUUGUUGUUAUUCGAUUUUGAACUCUCGACCCUCAUUGGUUCAGGAGGAAUCGAGUGGAUCGAUCAAUGGAAGCUUUAAUCUAGCUGUUUAAUUGUUGUCUGUGCCUAAUCUGAGCCGCACGAUGUUGAUUGUAAGGAACAAGUCCAAAAUCUUGACUUGUCUCACAUCGGUGAGAUUACGUUUUUGUUGCAAUUUGGGGUUCUAUAAAUAGAACCCCCCCCCCCCAAAUCCCAUUGAGGGAUAGACCUGAACACCGAAUAUCAUAUAUUCACAAAAAGAACUCGAAAAUACUAAAGGUUUUAGCAAUAUUGCUGAGACCUUUAAAUUGAGUUAAGUCUAAAUUUUAAGGUUUGUUUCUUCUGUUUUUUGUGUGUGGCUGAGCUUGGGUGGAGGAACAAAGGUCUCCAAGUCCAUUCUCAAUAGCAGGCUGCAUAAAAAAGUGGCCAACUACUUCUGUCCAUUGAUCGAGUCCGAUAAAGAGAAAGGGAAGCUAAUGUUUUCUUUGAAGGCCCAGCCAUAGGUGAAAAUGACUUGAAGGCCCAACUAUGGGUGAAAAUAGUAAUGCGGUGGGCUUAGGUUAGCCCACCAGCCUAACUCCCUCUAUUUCUUUCAUUAUUUGUGUAUAUGAAUUUGUAAAAACACUUGAAAAACUA